UGGGGAAUUGUUCGCAAUGGGCGCAAGCCUGACGACGCAACGCCGCGUGGAGGAUGAAGACCUUCGGGUCGUAAACUCCUUUCGACCGAGAUGAAUUCCCGACGGCCUAAUAUGCCGGCGGGGUGACAGUAUCGAGGGAAGAAGCCCCGGCUAACUCCGUGCCAGCAGCCGCGGUAAUACGGGGGGGGCAAGCGUUGUUCGGAAUUACUGGGCGUAAAGGGUUCGUAGGUGGCCUGCUAAGUCAGACGUGAAAUCCCUCAGCUUAACUGGGGAACUGCGUCUGAGACUGGUGGGCUUGAGGGCAGGAGAGGAACGUGGAAUUCCAGGUGUAGCGGUGAAAUGCGUAGAUAUCUGGAGGAACACCGGUGGCGAAGGCGGCGUUCUGGACUGCAUCUGACACUGAGGAACGAAAGCCAGGGGAGCAAACGGG
This 430-nucleotide ribosomal RNA is filed under the name uncultured bacterium. RNAcentral describes it as "bacterial SSU rRNA". It matches the Rfam family "Bacterial small subunit ribosomal RNA", at positions 355 to 776 of the family's 1533-position model. The record is from RNAcentral.